RNAcentral lists this ribosomal RNA (472 nucleotides) under uncultured bacterium. RNAcentral's name for it is "bacterial SSU rRNA". It matches the Rfam family "Bacterial small subunit ribosomal RNA", at positions 355 to 825 of the family's 1533-position model. The record is from RNAcentral.
UGGGGAAUUUUGGACAAUGGGCGCAAGCCUGAUCCAGCCAUACCGCGUGAGUGAAGAAGGCCUUCGGGUUGUAAAGCUCUUUCAGACGGAAAGAAACGGUUACGGCUAAUACCCGUGACUAACGACGGUACCGUAAGAAGAAGCACCGGCUAACUACGUGCCAGCAGCCGCGGUAAUACGUAGGGUGCGAGCGUUAAUCGGAAUUACUGGGCGUAAAGCGUGCGCAGGCGGUUUGGUAAGACAGAUGUGAAAUCCCCGGGCUUAACCUGGGAACUGCAUUUGUGACUGCCAGACUAGAGUGUAGCAGAGGGGGGUAGAAUUCCACGUGUAGCAGUGAAAUGCGUAGAUAUGUGGAGGAAUACCGAUGGCGAAGGCAGCCCCCUGGGCUAACACUGACGCUCAUGCACGAAAGCGUGGGGAGCAAACAGGAUUAGAUACCCUAGUAGUCCCUGAGCGGGCUGGCAAGGCGCAU